RNAcentral lists this ribosomal RNA (440 nucleotides) under uncultured bacterium. RNAcentral's name for it is "partial 16S ribosomal RNA". It matches the Rfam family "Bacterial small subunit ribosomal RNA", at positions 338 to 795 of the family's 1533-position model. The record is from RNAcentral.
CCUACGGGAGGCAGCAGUGGGGAAUAUUGCACAAUGGGGGAAACCCUGAUGCAGCGACGCCGCGUGAGAGAUGAAGUAUUUCGGUAUGUAAAGCUCUAUCAGCAGGGAAGAAAAUGACGGUACCUGACUAAGAAGCCCCGGCUAACUACGUGCCAGCAGCCGCGGUAAUACGUAGGGGGCAAGCGUUAUCCGGAUUUACUGGGGGGAAAGGGAGCGUAGACGGUCCUGCAAGCCAGAUGUGAAAGCCCGGGGCUCAACCCCGGGACUGCAUUUGGAACUGUAAGGCUAGAGUGUCGGAGAGGCAGGCGGAAUUCCUAGUGUAGCGGUGAAAUGCGUAGAUAUUAGGAGGAACACCAGUGGCGAAGGCGGCCUGCUGGACGAUGACUGACGUUGAGGCUCGAAAGCGUGGGGAGCAAACAGGAUUAGAUACCCCUGUAGUC